ACGCGUGAGAAUUUGCCAACAGGACUGGGACAACAGUGGGAAACCCCUGCUAAUCCCGGAUGUACCGCAAGGGAAAAGAUUUAUCGCCUGUUGAUGAGCUCCCGUCUGAUUAGCUAGUUGGUGGGGUAAAGGCCUACCAAGGCAUCCAUCAGUACCUGGUCUGAGAGGACGAUCAGCCACACUGGGACUGAAACACGGCCCAGACUCCUACCGGAGGCAACAGUGGGGAAUUUUCCGCAAUGGGCGAAAACCUGACGGAACAAGACCGCGUGAGGGAGGAAGGCUCUUGGGUUGUAAACCUCUUUUCUCUGGGAAAAACAAAAUGACGGUACCAGAGGAAUCAGCAUCGGCUAACUCCGUGCCAGCAACCGAGGUAACACCGAGGAUGCAAGCGUUAUCCGGAAUGAUUGGGCCUAAAGCGUCCGCAGGGGGCAAUUCAAGUCUGCUGUUAAAGCCCAGGGCUUAACUCUGUAAAGGCAGGGGAAACUGAAUAGCUAGAAUGUGGUAGGGGUAGAGGGAAUUCCCAGUGUACCGGGAAAUGCGUAAAGAUUGGGAAAAACAUUCGGGGCGAAAGGGCUCUACUGGACCGUAACUGACACUCACGGGACGAAAGUUUGGGGAGUAAUGGGAUUAGAUUCCCCAG
RNAcentral lists this ribosomal RNA (643 nucleotides) under Leptolyngbya angustissima WUC1619. RNAcentral describes it as "bacterial SSU rRNA". It matches the Rfam family "Bacterial small subunit ribosomal RNA", at positions 113 to 790 of the family's 1533-position model. Lineage: Bacteria; Bacillati; Cyanobacteriota; Cyanophyceae; Leptolyngbyales; Leptolyngbyaceae. The record is from RNAcentral.